GAUCAUGGCUCAGAAUGAACGCUGGCGGCAUGGAUUAGGCAUGCAAGUCGAACGUACUCCCUUCGGGGAGAAAGUGGCGAAAGGGUGAGUAACACGUGAGCAACCUGCCUCCGGAUCCGGAAUAAUCCAGGGAAACUUGGUCUAAAACCGAAUGAAGACAUUGGUCCGCAUGGUCUAAUGUUAAAAUAUUUAUAGUCCGGAGAGGGGCUCGCGGCCCAUUAGCUUGUUGGCGGGGUAAUGGCCCACCAAGGCUACGACGGGUAGGUGGUCUGAGAGGAUGGUCACCCACACUGGGACUGAGACACUGCCCAGACUCCUACGGGAGGCUGCAGUCGAGAAUCUUCCGCAAUGGGCGCAAGCCCUGACGGAGCGAUGCCGCGUGAGGGAUGAAGGCCUUCGGGUUGUAAACCUCUGUCAUCCGGGACGAAAACAAUGACGGUACCGGAAAAGGAAGCCACGGCUAACCACGUGCCAGCCGCGGC
Molecule: ribosomal RNA, 482 nt
Filed under: uncultured bacterium
Lineage: Bacteria
Description: bacterial SSU rRNA
Rfam family: Bacterial small subunit ribosomal RNA
Source: RNAcentral